Molecule: microRNA precursor, 82 nt
Filed under: Pelobates cultripes (western spadefoot toad)
Lineage: Eukaryota; Metazoa; Chordata; Amphibia; Anura; Pelobatidae
Source: RNAcentral
GAGUGCCGCCUGCAACAAAAUCACUGAUGCUGGAGCUUCUAUGUCCCACUCAUUCAGCAUCAGGAUAUUGUUCCAGGGGACA